GAUGAACGCUGGCGGCGUGCUUAACACAUGCAAGUCGAGCGAAGCAGUUAAGUUGAUUUCUUCGGAUUGAUUCUUAACUGACUGAGCGGCGGACGGGUGAGUAACGCGUGGGUGACCUGCCCCAUACCGGGGGAUAACAGCUGGAAACGGCUGCUAAUACCGCAUAAGCGCACAGAGCUGCAUGGCUCGGUGUGAAAAACUCCGGUGGUAUGGGAUGGGCCCGCGUCUGAUUAGGCAGUUGGCGGGGUAACGGCCCACCAAACCGACGAUCAGUAGCCGGCCUGAGAGGGCGACCGGCCACAUUGGGACUGAGACACGGCCCAAACUCCUACGGGAGGCAGCAGUGGGGAAUAUUGCACAAUGGGGGAAACCCUGAUGCAGCGACGCCGCGUGAGCGAAGAAGUAUUUCGGUAUGUAAAGCUCUAUCAGCAGGGAAGAUAAUGACGGUACCUGACUAAGAAGCCCCGGCUAACUACGUGCCAGCAGCCGCGGUAAUACGUAGGGGGCAAGCGUUAUCCGGAUUUACUGGGUGUAAAGGGAGCGUAGACGGCAAGGCAAGUCUGAUGUGAAAACCCAGGGCUUAACCCUGGGACUGCAUUGGAAACUGUCUGGCUCGAGUGCCGGAGAGGUAAGCGGAAUUCCUAGUGUAGCGGUGAAAUGCGUAGAUAUUAGGAAGAACACCAGUGGCGAAGGCGGCUUACUGGACGGU
This 709-nucleotide ribosomal RNA is filed under the name uncultured Lachnospiraceae bacterium. Its description in RNAcentral is "bacterial SSU rRNA". It matches the Rfam family "Bacterial small subunit ribosomal RNA", at positions 28 to 737 of the family's 1533-position model. Lineage: Bacteria; Bacillati; Bacillota; Clostridia; Lachnospirales; Lachnospiraceae. The record is from RNAcentral.